Pongo pygmaeus (Bornean orangutan) is the source of this 4072-nucleotide RNA transcript. It is a transcript of the gene named Yip1 domain family member 1, with no coding region annotated. The transcript has 12 exons. NCBI's taxonomy places the organism in Eukaryota, Metazoa, Chordata, Mammalia, Primates, Hominidae. The record is from RefSeq and is a predicted model, not a curated record.
AGCAAGACCAGCUCAAGUAGUCACACUCAGUGACCCCACCACUCCGCCCUCGCCUGUCUCUUUAAGAACCCGAGGCUCACCCUCGGGAGAAGGGCGGGAGGGAGCGGGCUCUGCGCGCCGCAGCACGCAGGUGUCUCUGGGAGCUGCUGUCUCUUUAAGGAGGCGGGGCUCUUCCCGGAGGAGGCGGAGAGGUUCCGCCCCCCGGACCUCCGGCUUCCGGCAACUGGGCUGGACCGAAACCGGCGCGGAGCAACUGAGGCCUGAGCCUUCCCGGGACCUGGGGGACACCUAACCCCGCGAGAUGAGGAAACUGAGGCCGCGAGGAGCGCGCACACAGCAGAGAAGCAGCAGAAUCGGGAAUCAAACCCAGCUCUGUCUGACCCCAGAGCCUGUGCCUUUAACCACUGGCUAGGCUGAACUGCCUUUGUUCUUCACUGUCCCCAUCACCUCUUUCAAACCUCAGCCUCUCCUUCCUCAUCGUUACAUCUCUAGGCUGCACCUGGUCUCUAAACAUUCACACAACCCCUGCAAAUUUUCUUCCUCAUAAUUGGGAGAAGACUCACUGGCCGAAUGGCAGCAGUAGAUGACUUGCAAUUUGAAGAAUUUGGCAAUGCAGCCACUUCUCUGACAGCAAACCCAGAUGCCACCACAGUAAACAUUGAGGAUCCUGGUGAAACCCCAAAACAUCAGCCAGGAUCCCCAAGAGGCUCAGGAAGAGAAGAAGAUGAUGAGUUACUGGGAAAUGAUGACUCUGACAAAACUGAGUUACUUGCUGGACAGAAGAAAAGCUCCCCCUUCUGGACAUUUGAAUACUACCAAACAUUCUUUGACGUGGACACCUACCAGGUCUUUGACAGAAUUAAAGGAUCUCUUUUGCCAAUACCCGGGAAAAAUUUUGUGAGGUUAUAUAUCCGCAGCAAUCCAGAUCUCUAUGGCCCCUUUUGGAUAUGUGCCACGUUGGUCUUUGCCAUAGCAAUUAGUGGGAAUCUUUCCAACUUCUUGAUCCAUCUGGGAGAGAAGACGUACCGUUAUGUGCCCGAAUUCCGAAAAGUGUCCAUAGCAGCUACCAGCAUCUAUGCCUAUGCCUGGCUGGUUCCUCUUGCACUCUGGGGUUUCCUCAUGUGGAGAAACAGCAAAGUUAUGAACAUCGUCUCCUAUUCAUUUCUGGAGAUUGUGUGUGUCUAUGGAUAUUCCCUCUUCAUUUAUAUCCCUACCGCAAUACUGUGGAUUAUCCCCCAGAAAGCUGUUCGUUGGAUUCUAGUCAUGAUUGCCUUGGGCAUCUCAGGAUCUGUCUUGGCAAUGACAUUUUGGCCAGCUGUUCGUGAGGAUAACCGACGCGUUGCGUUGGCCACAAUUGUGACAAUUGUGUUGCUUCAUAUGCUGCUCUCUGUGGGCUGCUUGGCAUACUUUUUUGAUGCACCAGAGAUGGACCAUCUCCCAACAACUACAGCUACUCCAAACCAAACAGUUGCUGCAGCCAAGUCCAGCUAAUGAGGAAAGACUCACUUGAGAUACCCUCUCCUUGCUGAAGUUUUUCUUGACUUCUCCAGACGGAGUCUCACUCUGUUGCCCAAGCUGGAAGACAGUGGUGCAAUCUUGGCUCAUUGCAACCUCCACCUCCCGGGUUCAAGUGAUUCUCAUGCCUCAGCCUUCCGAGUAGCUGGAAUUACAGGAAUGCAUCAUCAUGCCUGGCUAAGUUUUCUGUAUUUUUGGUAGAGAUGGGGUUUUGCCACGUUGGCCAGGCUGGCCUCUUAACUCCUGGCCUCAAGUGAUCUGCCCACCUUAGCCUCCCAAAGUGCUGGGAUUACAGGCAUGAGUCACCAUGCCCGCCUGAGAAGGGAAUUUUCUAGUCUUCAUAUUCUUCCCUAGUCUUGACAUUAAUUUGGAACAGACAGCUAGAAAGAGGAGAGUAAAACAGAGUAUAUAUUUAUGAAUAUAAAAUCUUGAGUGCUUGCUCUGUGGGCCCGUUUGUCCCUACCUUUAUUUAGCGUUUUAGAACCCAAGUUGAUGGUUACUAAAAGGCUGAUCAGGGCUUUAGGUUCUUUCGUGCCAGCAAAUUACAGCAUCUGGCCUUCUCCAGUCACUUUUCACAGAUAUUUUGUUGGCAAUGUUUCUCUUUUCUUGAGCCAGUAGACUUGGGCAGUUAGCCCUUGCCUUAGCCUCACCUUCGUGGUAUCAUCAAACGCUGACAUCUGAAUGUGGUAUUGCCCUGUUGAUGUCUCCAGGAAGGCCUAGCUCAUUCUCCCAAGUGGAAGGCUAUGCAUUAGGAACUUAUUCUCCACCAUAUUCCUUAGUCUCCCCUGGAUUUAACUCUAUCUCCAGCCCCUCUUUCCAAGUUUCCCUGUCUUGCAAAUCCCCAGGUAGGUAUACCAACAGUUGCCUCAAAUUCAUUACAUUCCAAGCCAUACUCAUCCCCCACUACAAUCAGAUCCUCCUCAUGUUUUCCUGUCUCAGGGAAUGGCAUGACACCAUCAUUUAUAUUGUCCCUGACUGCAGAGUAGGUUAGAUUCUUUAUUACACACUCGCCUGGCAAGUUAAGAUUAUAAUUAAAUAAAUAAUAUAUUCUGUAUUUGUUUGCCCUGUUGCUUCUCUUGGUAGACUGGUUCCUUGACAGUUGGGACCAUGUCUGUCUUGUUCAUUACUGUACCCAGUACCUGGCACAUGGGUCCUCAAUAUUUGUUGGAUUAAUUAAGAAAUCCAUCCAGUCACCCAAGAUAGAAACCUCAGCAUCAAGGUAGAUUGUAGAUUCCCCCCACUCACUUUCCACAUAGUAUCAGUCAGCAAGACUUGUCUUUUCUAUCUCUGAAGUAUUUUUCAUCUCUGUCCUGUCAUUACCAUACCCAGUGUUCAGGAUCGAUCAUUUCAUAUUUGAACUGUAGCAGUAACAUGAUGGCUUUCUCCACUUCUUUUCUUUUUCUCCUUCCAAUUCGUCCUAUACACAGCCACAAGGGUCUUUGAAAAUUUAUAAUUCUGACCACGCCUUUGACUAUGUCACUUCCCUACUUAGAAACUUUUUUUUUGGCCCCCUAUUGCCGAAAGAACAAAAUUGAAACCCCCUGCAUUGCCACAAUCUAUCCCUGAUUUAUUUGUCUUGCCUCAUAUCCUGCCAUUAUCUCCUGUAUAACCUUACAUUUCAACUACCACGGUUUUCCAAGUCCCAGAUCUUUAAGUCCCUCCAUAUCCACUCUUAUCUUUUCUCCUCUAGUGCUUAACAUAGUGCUGUCAUGGAGAAGAGAAAGAGAGAAGGAUGGGCGAAGGUAGCUUUCGGAUCUGGCUUGGAAAGGGUCACUGGGUUUCCAAGGAAAUAGAAGAAAACUUUUUAAAGCAUCAUCUUUCUUCCAACACUAAGCUCUACUUUGAGCAUCAAAAUCAGACUCAAGGCUCAAGAUUUGGGGAAUUGGUGGCAGCAGACUGCUCUGGUGUUGGGAGUUAUAUCUCUAAACAUACAUGAAUAUCCUUUUCUACAAUGUAGCUCUUUCCUGUUGGGGAGGGGGGGUGCUUUAUCUUGAAAGUUUCCCGUUUUGUUUUUCAGUUCUCUUUUGUUUUUUGGAGCAUGAUUCUUUGGGAAGUGGCAUCCACUGCAGGAAAGCAGAAUGAGCAGAGCCAGCAGAACUGAUGGAGUGGCACAAACUCCCAGUGUCUGGAUGGUGCCACACUGGCGCCUAAUCACCCGUUUAACAAGCAGAAAUUAAAUGUUGCUCAGCACAUGUGUCUUUCAGCUCUUCUUUUUCAUCCAUGGAUGAUCAUUGCGAGCAUGCGCUGAUUGGACUGAAAUGCCGGGGAAUAGGUUAGGCAUGCUCAGUGCCGUCCCUUUGUCACCACAGUCAAAUGACAUGCUUCACUGUGGUACCUUAAUACCCAAAACAGAACCAUGCAAAAUUCUGAUGUCUUCUCUCUGAAUUAUGUACAGACUACCUGGGGGAUCCUCUUCUCUCCAAAUGUUAGCCCUCCUGAAGUAGCCAAACAGUAGAAACUUUGGUGGGGAUUAACUGGGAGCUUGAAAAUUUGUCUUUGGUAACCUGAUACUGGACAGCUGAACCGAAUGGCUGCAAAAUAAAUACCUCACAUGCUG